UGAAUCUAUAGCUUUGUUCAGAGAGAUUA
Molecule: non-coding RNA, 29 nt
Filed under: Rattus norvegicus (Norway rat)
Lineage: Eukaryota; Metazoa; Chordata; Mammalia; Rodentia; Muridae
Source: RNAcentral